AGUGAACGCUGGCGGUAGGCCUAACACAUGCAAGUCGAACGGCAGCACAGUAAGAGCUUGCUCUUACGGGUGGCGAGUGGCGGACGGGUGAGGAAUACAUCGGAAUCUACUUUUUCGUGGGGGAUAACGUAGGGAAACUUACGCUAAUACCGCAUACGCCCUACGGGUGAAAGCAGGGGAUCUUCGGACCUUGCGCGAUUGAAUGAGCCGAUGUCGGAUUAGCUAGUUGGCGGGGUAAAGGCCCACCAAGGCGACGAUCCGUAGCUGGUCUGAGAGGAUGAUCAGCCACACUGGAACUGAGACACGGUCCGGACUCCUACGGGAGGCAGCAGUGGGGAAUAUUGGACAGUGGGCGCAAGCCUGAUCCAGCCAUACCGCGUGGGUGAAGAAGGCCUUCGGGUUGUAAAGCCCUUUUGUUGGGAAAGAAAAGCAGCAGGUUAAUACCCCGCUGUUCUGACGGUACCCUAAGAAUAAGCACCGGCUAACUUCGUG
This 492-nucleotide ribosomal RNA is filed under the name uncultured bacterium. RNAcentral's name for it is "partial 16S ribosomal RNA". It matches the Rfam family "Bacterial small subunit ribosomal RNA", at positions 29 to 507 of the family's 1533-position model. The record is from RNAcentral.